This 204-nucleotide long non-coding RNA is filed under the name Elaeis guineensis (African oil palm). RNAcentral's name for it is "long non-coding RNA (EGUI_LNC033484)". Lineage: Eukaryota; Viridiplantae; Streptophyta; Magnoliopsida; Arecales; Arecaceae. The record is from RNAcentral.
UCGCCCCCCAGCAUCAGGGGUUAUUGUUGGACCAAAUGCCAUUCUCUUCUCAGUAUGGUCAUCAAAGCCAAUAGUCAGUAUGGCCAUCAAAGCCAAUAGGGGGCAUUUGGCUUGUAUCUAGCCGUAACUCCUAUUAUAUCGUAGCUGGCUUCAUUUAGCCUCCUAUUGAGCCUGAAAUUAGCUGAAGUAGUCGCAUUUGUAAGG